UGGGGAAUAUUGCACAAUGGGGAAGACCCUGAUCCAGCGACGCCGCGUGAGUGAAGAAGUAUUUCGGUAUGUAAAGCUCUAUCAGCAGGGAAGAAAUCAUGACGGUACCUGACUAAGAAGCCCGCUACUACGUGCCAGCAGCCGCGGUAAUACGUAGGGGCGAAGCGUUAUCCGGAUUUACUGGGUGUAAAGGGAGCGUAGACGGCAAGGCAAGUCUGAUGUGAAAACCCAGGGCUUAACUCUGGGACUGCAUUGGAAACUGUCUGGCUCGAGUGCCGGAGAGGUAAGCGGAAUUCCUAGUGUAGCGGUGAAAUGCGUAGAUAUUAGGAAGAACACCAGUGGCGAAGGCGGCUUACUGGACGGUAACUGACGUUGAGGCACGAAAGCGUGGGGAUCAAACAGGAUUAGAUACC
This 413-nucleotide ribosomal RNA is filed under the name uncultured bacterium. RNAcentral's name for it is "bacterial SSU rRNA". It matches the Rfam family "Bacterial small subunit ribosomal RNA", at positions 355 to 786 of the family's 1533-position model. The record is from RNAcentral.